This 884-nucleotide long non-coding RNA is filed under the name Equus caballus (horse). RNAcentral describes it as "lncRNA (ENSECAG00000051453.1)". Lineage: Eukaryota; Metazoa; Chordata; Mammalia; Perissodactyla; Equidae. The record is from RNAcentral.
GCCAGCAUCUUCGUGGCAGCUACAUCUUGGGUGGUGGCAUCUUCCAGAGUUUCACGGAAGUGUCUGUUGAUUGGGAUUGCCUACAGAGCUUGAUUCCAGACCCCGCUGAUGACGUCAUCCUGCAACAUUUUAGGAUUGUCAUAAAAUUAGCUUCUGUCGAAGCACUUAUUUUCUGGAUGAAGAUUUCACAGUCUUCUUGGCAGCUUGGUUUAAAGAUUAGUCACACUUAAGUUAUAUCUGAGCCACCAGAGGAUUGAACCACACCAGUGAAUAAAAAGCAGCCCGCCCCGCCUGCCUUCUAAGUGGACUCUGCCUUCUGAGGUGUUUCGUUUAUCAUCAAAUCUUCUCAUGGUCAUUCAGAUUUGAAGACAUACACAGAGUGCUUGCUCAUCCUCACAUUAAGAAAAUAAGUAAGCGAUGGACAUAUAAGAAUUCUGGAAGUAUUAGAGUCUACAUAAUUCAUCCCUCCUUCAAGUCAUGAGAUCUUCAAUCAGGGUAAAUAUGAAAUUAAAGCCAACUCAUGGCCCUGGCCUGGAGCACCCUUACGUGAGGCCCAUGCAGCCAUCUGAGCCACUGGAUAUGUCCUACUUUUUGUCCAAAUCUCUGGGCCUCACAAAAAAGCCCUCUCACAGUUAUAGAACUUAUAAGAAAACGAAAUCAGAAUCUCUCUAUUUGACAUUUUUAACAAUUACUACAAGAAUCUGAAGUUUGUUGCUAUUCGGAAAGGUCCAGUAACCUUGGAGGGGCUAUAUUCUGUUGGUGGCAGGGUCAAGUAAAAUAGGAAGAUUGAUCUUAGUUAUUAAGAAGAUUAAUUUAUGCUACAAAUAAACUCCACAAUGGGGCUGAAUUUUCUUUAUCCUUUUAAAUAAAAUUACAAUGCUGAA